GGCUAUUUAUACAUGGUUAAACACCAGUAAGGGUACUCAGUACUGCUGUAUGUGGUUCGGAAAUGCUAUGGUGUUUAAGUUAACAAAAUCACAGAUAUAUUUUAAACACACCAAUGAGGAAAACAUUGACUGGAGGUUCAUUAAUUCAACAUAAACUUAUUUUGAAGACCUGUAAGUACUACUUGUAGCAAAAUUAUAAGGGAUUCAAACUGAAAUUGUAUUCAAACUUGAAAAUGCGAAACCAGGAAAUCUUACGCAGGCAAAAACAUCCAAAGUCCAGGUAAGAAAGUCCUUAAUCCAAUAAUCAAAAUACCAACAGUACAAUGACAGCGGUUUAUCUAUUGCUCUUUUUCCUUUCCUGUGGCCUCCUUGUGUCUUUCCCUGGUCAAACCUCUGGUCAGCUUUGGUGCAGUAAUCCCACAAACACCUCUGUCCAAUACAUACAUAAACAGCAGGUGCCAAAACUUUCAAAAAUAAAACAACUACUUCAAUAACUACUGUAAACUAAUGUAAUCCAAGGUCAUGUUGGGUUUAAACUGUGUGUUAUUCACUGUGUGUGCCAUAGGGUGUCGCUGUCUUAUUACCUAUAGGGCUCAGGUGUAUGAGGUGUAAAGUCUAACAGGAUUGGGUGUGUCUGACCCCGGAAGAGCAUGGAUUUUGACCAGCGUAGCGCGAGUGUGUGAGUACAGCAAAGAUUGUUUGCUCGGGAGAUGAACUGAAUAUUGAUGGAUAUAGACUGUACUUUAUCAUGCACAACAAGAGACAGUAAAUGGAUGGUAUUAUGCUGCACCUGAUAACAAGCCUACCGAUUUCUCAUUUUAAACACCACCACAAAUGGUAUCUGAAAACUCAGCUGUUCGACUGCAUCUUUUGUCUGUAGCACUUACAAAGGAUUUGGCUUUAGGGGAAGCUAAUGCAGUAGCACUUAAUGUGUUUGGGUUUAUAGAUAGGAAGUGUACCUGCAGGAUUUUUGCUUUUGAGUUUGUUUCUUCACGGUUUAUUGCACGUAUUAUUGUCAGUCUCUUUGGAUCAACACGUCAGCUAAAUGUAAUGUAUCUUAUCCACACAGUUUAUCAGCCAGGUCAUUCCCGGGAGUUAAAGCACCAAACAGUAACUUUAGUAUUAUGCUUAAGCUCCCACAGUUACUCUAAAAUACAUGACAGGCAACAAACGAGUCCAAUUAGUUUGUAUUCUGGCCCUGACUUUUUAAAAGUCCUGUCUCGAUUGAAGAGGGAGCACUGCCCUCUGGUGGUGAUACACCAGAAUAAAAAGCCUUUUGCACCAGACAGAAAAUAUCUAAAGAUAUGUUUCCUAAUGUGAGUUCAUAUUUCCGGUUAAUUGUAACAAAAAAAGUAAAAGCUUACGGCACCGGGUAUUCCCAGGCGGUCGAACUGCCAAGUCCCUACUAGCGACCAAUGGUUGAGCAGAGCUGAGCAAAGCUGAGCAGCGAUCAGCCAAUGGUUGAGCAAUGCUGAGCAGAGCUGAGCGCUCAACAGACCAAUCAUUGAGCGAUCAGGCUCACGUUUGUGUGUGACGUCACACUUGGGUCGUCUGCAUUUUGAAACAAGAUGGCGGCCGAUAGCUGCCAAAUGGAUUGAUAAUAUACAUUUAAUGCUCCCGUUUCUCUCAGGUAAGUUCAAUCUUUUUCAUUCUUGGCUCUUUUUGUAGGUAAUUCGGUGGUGCAUUUAGCCAGCUAGGUGUCACUUUUGCUGUGUUGAAUGAUUCUAUGAAAACCGGCAGAUUAACGCGACUGUUAACAGCUGAACCGGCGAAUCCAGCUAUAGCCUACUGUACACAUUUGACACUCUGUUUCCCUCUAGUAAUUUCAAUAUUCUUCAUUCUUAGCUCUUUCUGUUGGUAAUUCGGUGGUGCAUUUAGCCAGCUAGGUGUCACUUUUGCUGUGUUGAAUGAUUCUAUGAAAACCGGCAGAUUAACUCGACUGUUAACAGCUGAACCGGCGAAUCCAGCGAUAGCCUACUGUACACAUUUGACGCUCUUGUUUCCCUCUAGUAAUUUCAAUAUUCUUCAUUCUUAGCUCUUUCUGUUGGUAAUUCGGUGGUGCAUUUAGCCAGCUAUGUGUCACUUUUGCUGUGUUGAAUGAUUCUAUGAAAACCGGCAGAUUAACGCGACUGUUAAAAGCUGAACCGGCGAAUCCAGCAAUAGCCUACUGCACACAUUUGACGCUCUCGUUUCCCUCUGGUAAUUUCAAUAUUCUUCAUUCUUAGCUCUUUCUGUUGGUAAUUCGGUGGUGCAUUUAGCCAGCUAGGUGUCACUUUUGCUGUGUUGAAUGAUUCUGUGGAAACCGGCAGAAAAACGCCACUGUUUACACAUGCGGAUUUGACAUGUUCUUGUGAAUGGAUCCUCUUGCCAUCCUCUUGCCAUUAAAUAUGGCCUAGCUUUUCACUUAGAUCGAUAUCUAUGGAAUCUGGUAGCUUUACAGCAAUAUUUAGGUUUGAGAUAUGUGUUUUGGAGGUGUGACUUGUCCGCUGUGGAGUUUGGAACAGAUUUACCUACAUGUUGUUUAUCAACAUGUAAUUGCUGAUUUUGGAUAGGGAGAAGUUUAACUGAAAACGUUAUAUUCCUCUUUCCACAGGUCUCCAUGCUGAUUAGUGUUGCUUUAAACAUGGAGAAGUGUAGCAUUUGCAGCAUUUGCAGCAAAAGUUUCACUUUAAAGCGACAGUUGUGCCCAAGGUGAUAGCACACAGGCGAGUGCUGUCUUUUGACCCCAUGCCAGUGGCACCUACUCUGCCGACAACCUUACCGGUUCCAGCUUGAGCUCAGGUGCAGUACCAGAACCUGGAUCACCUGGCUGGGGAAAGGCGUGGGGCAAAACAAAGGCUAGAAAUGAAGACACCAUCAGAGCAGGGGAACAAGCCCAUCCAGCCCAAGCCUGCCACGUACAUCCCGCCUCGUGUGUGUGCUGCACCAGUACUGCUGGUGGUCCCGGCACAGCCGCGGGCUCCAUCCAUGAUGCUGCCAGGGACAUCCUGCAGUCAGGGCAUUGCUGGCUUUAUGCCAGCUGCACCGCCACCUGUGCCUGUGUCCAAACCAGCCAAGCCUCACAGAUCCUUGAGGCCAUGCGGGGCGUGCCAGGUACCCAAUUGUGGGGGGAAGCGUAAAAGAUAUACACCCUCAAAAGAUAAGGUUUCUGGAAGCAAGCAGAAAAUCUUUACAUUCUGCCCUUCAACCAGAAAGGCCACCACCUCGGGUUUUGAAGGUGUGGUGUACGAAAGUUUUGAGCAUUUCAAAAGAGUGGUUGAUGAUGCAUUAGAAUAAACAUAUUAGUAUGUGUUAUAUGUUUUAUAUUUUAUAUAUGUUUAUGUUUUAUAUUUUAUAUAUGUUUUAUAUGUUCAAUAUGUUUCAGAUUUUAUAUGUUUAUAUGUUUUAUAUCUUUUAUAUGUUUAUACCAAAGUUUGUGGGUCAGUUUCUAAUCCUUGCAAUACUGCAUUUUGUACUGAUAAUUCUUAUUUAUACUUUUGUAUCAACAUAACCUUGAUUAAACACUUUAAACUGG
Long non-coding RNA from Eleginops maclovinus (Patagonian blennie), 3514 nucleotides. RefSeq lists it as uncharacterized. The record is from RefSeq and is a predicted model, not a curated record. Lineage: Eukaryota; Metazoa; Chordata; Actinopteri; Perciformes; Eleginopidae. The transcript has 2 exons.